UACGAAGGGGGCUAGCGUUGCUCGGAAUCACUGGGCGUAAAGGGCGCGUAGGCGGGCUCUUAAGUCAAGGGUGAAAGCCCAAGGCUCAACCUUGGAAUUGCCUUUGAUACUGAGGGCCUUGAGACCGGAAGAGGUCGGCGGAACUGCGAGUGUAGAGGUGAAAUUCGUAGAUAUUCGCAAGAACACCAGUGGCGAAGGCGACUUCCUGGCCUGUUCUUGACGCUGAGGCGCGAAAGCUAGGGGAGCGAACGGG
RNAcentral lists this ribosomal RNA (253 nucleotides) under uncultured bacterium. RNAcentral's name for it is "partial 16S ribosomal RNA". It matches the Rfam family "Bacterial small subunit ribosomal RNA", at positions 524 to 776 of the family's 1533-position model. The record is from RNAcentral.